AACGAACGCUGGCGGCGUGGAUAAGACAUGCAAGUCGAACGGGAUAUUAUUUGUAGCAAUACACGUAAUGUCCAGUGGCGUAAGGGUGCGUAACACGUGGGCAACCUGCCGAGAAGUGGGGGAUAGCUCGUCGAAAGGCGAAUUAAUACCGCAUGUGGUUAGUGCUGGAUUCAGCGCGAUACCAAAGCCGGUCGUAGUAAUACGGCUGGCGCUUCUUGAUGGGCCCGCGGCCUAUCAGCUAGUUGGUGAGGUAACGGCUCACCAAGGCUAUGACGGGUAGCUGGUCUGAGAGGACGACCAGCCACACUGGAACUGAGACACGGUCCAGACACCUACGGGUGGCAGCAGUCGAGAAUUUUUCUCAAUGGGGAAACCCUGAAGGAGCGACGCCGCGUGGAGGAUGAAGGUCUUCGGAUUGUAAACUCCUGUCAUUUGGGAACAAUGUGCAUUGGUUAACUGCCGGUGCAUUGAUAGUACCAGAAGAGGAAGAGACGG
This 495-nucleotide ribosomal RNA is filed under the name uncultured bacterium. RNAcentral describes it as "bacterial SSU rRNA". It matches the Rfam family "Bacterial small subunit ribosomal RNA", at positions 29 to 496 of the family's 1533-position model. The record is from RNAcentral.